AAAGAAAACUCGAUUCCCUGAGUAGCGGCGAGCGAAACGGGAAGAGCCCAAACCAAUAGGCUUGCCUAUUGGGGUUGUAGGACACUCUAUACGGAGUUACAAAGGAAAUGAUUAGACGAAUGGUUUUGGAAAAGCCAACCAUAGAAGGUAAAGGUCCUGUAGUCGAAAGUCAUUUCUCUCCUGAGUGGAUCCUGAGUACGGCGGAACACGUGAAAUUCCGUCGGAAUCUGGGAGGACCAUCUCCCAAGGCUAAAUACUCUCUAGUGACCGAUAGUGAACCAGUACCGUGAGGGAAAGGUGAAAAGCACCCCGGAAGGGGAGUGAAAUAGAACCUGAAACCGUGUGCUUACAAAUAGUCAGAGCCCGUUAAUGGGUGAUGGCGUGCCUUUUGUAGAAUGAACCGGCGAGUUACGAUUUGAUGCAAGGUUAAGCAGUAAAUGUGGAGCCGUAGCGAAAGCGAGUCUGAAUAGGGCGAAUGAGUAUCUGGUCGUAGACCCGAAACCAAGUGAUCUACCCAUGUCCAGGUUGAAGUUCAGGUAACACUGAAUGGAGGACCGAACCGACUUACGUUGAAAAGUGAGCGGAUGAGGUGUGGGUAGCGGAGAAAUUCCAAUCGAACUUGGAGAUAGCUGGUUCUCUCCGAAAUAGCUUUAGGGCUAGCCUCAAGUGAUGAUUAUUGGAGGUAGAGCACUGUUUGGACGAGGGGCCCCUCUCGGGUUACCGAAUUCAGACAAACUCCGAAUGCCAAAUAAUUUAACUUGGGAGUCAGACUAUGGGUGAUAAGGUCCGUAGUCGAAAGGGAAACAGCCCAGACCACCAGCUAAGGUCCCAAAAUAUAUGUUAAGUGGAAAAGGAUGUGGCGUUGCCCAGACAACUAGGAUGUUGGCUUAGAAGCAGCCAUCAUUUAAAGAGUGCGUAAUAGCUCACUAGUCGAGUGACACUGCGCCGAAAAUGUACCGGGGCUAAACAUAUUACCGAAGCUGUGGAUUAUCCGUAAGGAUAAUGGUAGGAGAGCGUUCUAAACGUGUCGAAGCAUGAUCGUAAGGACAUGUGGAAUGUUUAGAAGUGAGAAUGCCGGUGUGAGUAGCGAAAGAUGGGUGAGAAUCCCAUCCACCGAUUGACUAAGGUUUCCAGAGGAAGGCUCGUCCGCUCUGGGUUAGUCGGGACCUAAGCCGAGGCCGAUAGGCGUAGGCGAUGGAUAACAGGUAGAUAUUCCUGUACCACCUAUGAUUGUUUGAACGAUGGGGGGACGCAGUAGGAUAGGCGAAGCGUGCUGUUGGAGUGCACGUCCAAGCAAUAAGACUGAGUGUUAGGCAAAUCCGGCACUCGUAAGGUUGAGUUGUGAUGGGGAGUUGGAUCAUGUAUCCGACGAGUCGUUGAUUUCACACUGCCAAGAAAAGCCUCUAGUUAGAAAAUAGGUGCCCGUACCGCAAACCGACACAGGUAGUCAAGAUGAGAAUUCUAAGGUGAGCGAGCGAACUCUCGUUAAGGAACUCGGCAAAAUGACCCCGUAACUUCGGGAGAAGGGGUGCUUUUUAGG
Molecule: ribosomal RNA, 1540 nt
Filed under: Staphylococcus epidermidis
Lineage: Bacteria; Bacillati; Bacillota; Bacilli; Caryophanales; Staphylococcaceae
Description: partial 23S ribosomal RNA
Rfam family: Bacterial large subunit ribosomal RNA
Source: RNAcentral